UACGAAGGGGCUAGCGUUGCUCGGAAUCACUGGGCGUAAAGGGUGCGUAGGCGGGUCUUUAAGUCAGGGUGAAUCCUGGAGCUCAACUCCAGAACUGCCUUGAUACUGAAGAUCUUGAGUUCGGAGAGGUGAGUGGAACUGCGAGUGUAGAGGUGAAAUUCGUAGAUAUUCGCAAGAACACCAGUGGCGAAGGCGGCUCACUGGCCCGAUACUGACGCUGAGGCACGAAGCGUGGGAGCAACAGG
RNAcentral lists this ribosomal RNA (245 nucleotides) under uncultured bacterium. RNAcentral's name for it is "partial 16S ribosomal RNA". It matches the Rfam family "Bacterial small subunit ribosomal RNA", at positions 524 to 776 of the family's 1533-position model. The record is from RNAcentral.